Molecule: microRNA precursor, 167 nt
Filed under: Pelobates cultripes (western spadefoot toad)
Lineage: Eukaryota; Metazoa; Chordata; Amphibia; Anura; Pelobatidae
Source: RNAcentral
GCAGACACAUGCCAGCCAAUCAGCAGCAGACCCUCCCUCCCAAACCCUCCCACCUCCUGGACAGCAUCCAUUUUACAUUCAUUGUGAAGCUGCAUUCUUAGUGAGCUGUCCAGGAGAUGGGAGGGUCUGGGAAGGAGGGUCUGCUGCUGAUUGGCUAGAAUGUGUCU